RNAcentral lists this ribosomal RNA (253 nucleotides) under uncultured bacterium. Its description in RNAcentral is "partial 16S ribosomal RNA". It matches the Rfam family "Bacterial small subunit ribosomal RNA", at positions 524 to 776 of the family's 1533-position model. The record is from RNAcentral.
UACGUAGGUGACAAGCGUUGUUCGGAAUUACUGGGCGUAAAGAGUGUGUAGGCGGUGCUCUAAGUUCGGUGUGAAAUCUCCCGGCUUAACUGGGAGGGUGCGCCGGAAACUGGAGUGCUCGAGCGUGGGAGAGGAAAGCGGAAUUCCUGGUGUAGCGGUGAAAUGCGUAGAUAUCAGGAGGAACACCUGCGGUGUAGACGGCUUUCUGGACCAUUGCUGACGCUGAGACACGAAAGCGUGGGUAGCAAACAGG